RNAcentral lists this unclassified non-coding RNA (147 nucleotides) under uncultured Helotiales. RNAcentral describes it as "sequence contains ITS2". The record is from RNAcentral. Lineage: Eukaryota; Fungi; Ascomycota; Leotiomycetes; Helotiales.
CAACCCUCAAGCACUGCUUGGUAUUGGGCUCCGCUGGUUUCAGCGGGCCUUAAAAUCAGUGGCAGCGCCGUCUGAGCUCUGAGCGUAGUAAAUAUCCUCGCUAUAGAGACCAGGUAGCUCUCGUCAUCAACCCCCAACUUUCUAAGU